Long non-coding RNA from Sorghum bicolor (sorghum), 1780 nucleotides. RefSeq lists it as uncharacterized. The record is from RefSeq and is a predicted model, not a curated record. NCBI's taxonomy places the organism in Eukaryota, Viridiplantae, Streptophyta, Magnoliopsida, Poales, Poaceae. The transcript has 3 exons.
GUCAUUUUAAAAUAUUAUUUGCCAUUAAUCUUUACUUACCAUUGAAUUCUUAUCAUUGCUACUUAGGUGCUGUUAGUUUAGUACUGAUCUGUGGAUAUGUCAUGCUAUUAGUCACAAACCAGAUUUCUUCUUGUCUCCAAAGAAUUCUUAUUGCUGCUAAUUUUCUGGUGUUAAUUUAGUAUCAAUCAUUGACCAAGAUUCUGGCAGCCUGAAAUUUUCUGAGAGCUCCUACAUAUUUCAAAAGGCGCAAGAGCACAUAUUGCAGUCUUGGUUACUGGUUUUAUUGAUACUUGAAACUAGUUGCUUCUAGUUCUACUUGGGAAGCACUGUUUCCUUUUAUUUCAAAAAAGUAUUGUUUCUUACGUAACUGCGAGGAAUAGAAUUAUGAGGAACUUCUAUUUUUGUAAGUUUGAAGCUUGGGAAUCAUACUGCUAUGUCACCAAAAAAAAUAGAAUAGUCAGGUCAGGAAUCUUAUUUGCAAUCAUGUUAUAAUAAGGUGGAACAUGACAGCUGGAUGAAAUGUGUGUGAUCUUUUCUUGGAUACAGUGAACAGUUGAAACUUACGAAGGUCAUGCUCUGCUUCCUUUGUCUGAAAAGUCAUGGCUGAAAGUAUUGCUCGCUGAUUUGUUGUGAGAGAAAAACACCGCUGAAUGACUGACAUAUUUGGUAGAUAAGCUCAAGAGAACAGGGUGAUGCCAGUGACACAAGGCAACUGAGUCUUAAAAUUAAUCUGUCGUUUACCUGGCUGUAAUUUUAACCCAUCACGGUAACAGGAUUUCUCAUAUUUCCUAUGACCUGGCCACUUGGGAGUUGGGGCACUUGUGAUCUUACAUUAGACAUUAGUUUAACUUAAUUAAGAUAAGCCCACCAAUAUGAAGAUGUCUCUUAUUAUGACAAUAUUUGCUGCUGUACUCUUGAGAUCUUGGGAAUAUUUUAGGAACAAUCACUAAGAUUAUUAUUGAUAUUCUUACAUUUCAUGACUUGAUCUGAUAUGUCUCUUUUCUCAGGUACCAGAUGCCAUGGAUUAUCUUCUAGCUUUCAACAGAGUUUGCAUAUACACAGUUCUAAAGCAUCUGCAUGCUAUUUUCUGGCUGUCAUAGCAAAUGUGAUGAGAAAAACACCCAAAACGUUUAAGGGACUGCUAGUUCUAAUGUAGAUGCACAAGCACGAAGUGGAGAUUACUCAGAUUGAUAGGUUACCAGGACACCCCAAAGGUCUACUUCAUGGUCAUGGCUUAGCUGAGAGAUGGAAAUGGCUUGCCAUGUUCCUCAGUGCUCUACCAGCUACCACUGCUACUGCUUGUGCCCUUCAAGCAUUUCUCAAGAUGGCUGGUUUUGCGCUUCACAAGAAAUAUGGAUCACAGUUCAAGAAAAUCCUGGAUGUAAUAUCGCGCUGCUCUUUACCAGCUUUGAAAGAACAAGGCAACAAAACACACUCUGAGGCUGUCAAUAAUCUACAGAACUAUCUUAUUAAAAAAAUCUACCUCGAGGAACCAGAGGGGCAGUGCCUUGUACAACAACUGAUAUCGAAAGAGUUGUUCUAACAUAUGUUUUUUUGGGUGCUUCUACACGUACCUUGUUGAGCCCCACGGGUAUUUGCAUGGACGCUCUAGCCCCCCCCUAUCGCUGCUGCGUCAAUGGAGUUUCUAGUGAUUUUCUUCCAAUUUUAAACAUAAAUGUAUAAGAUAAGGUGGGCUGAGAUCUUUAUUUUUAUAAUAUAUUUUGUGAAUCUCAUCCUUCAUUGAUAUUUUCAAUAUAAAACUAAUUCAAAUUAUUAUAUA